RNAcentral lists this ribosomal RNA (253 nucleotides) under uncultured bacterium. RNAcentral describes it as "partial 16S ribosomal RNA". It matches the Rfam family "Bacterial small subunit ribosomal RNA", at positions 524 to 776 of the family's 1533-position model. The record is from RNAcentral.
UACGGGGGGGGCAAGCGUUGUUCGGAAUUACUGGGCGUAAAGGGCUCGUAGGUGGCCAACUAAGUCAGACGUGAAAUCCCUCAGCUUAACUGGGGAACUGCGUCUGAUACUGGAUGGCUUGAGUUUGGGAGAGGGAUGCGGAAUUCCAGGUGUAGCGGUGAAAUUCGUAGAUAUCGGGAGGAACACCAGUGGCGAAGGCGGCGAUCUGGGCAGUUACUGACGCUGAGGUGCGAAAGCGUGGGGAGCAAACAGG